CACGCCGCGUGAGUGAUGAAGGUUUUCGGAUCGUAAAGCUCUGUUGUUAGGGAAGAACAAGUACCGUUCGAAUAGGGCGGUACCUUGACGGUACCUAACCAGAAAGCCACGGCUAACUACGUGCCAGCAGCCGCGGUAAUACGUAGGUGGCAAGCGUUGUCCGGAAUUAUUGGGCGUAAAGGGCUCGCAGGCGGUUUCUUAAGUCUGAUGUGAAAGCCCCCGGCUCAACCGGGGAGGGUCAUUGGAAACUGGGGAACUUGAGUGCAGAAAAGGAGAGUGGAAUUCCACGUGUAGCGGUGAAAUGCGUAAAGAUGUGGAGGAACACCAGUGGCGAAGGCGACUCUCUGGUCUGUAACUGACGCUGAGGAGCGAAAGCGUGGGGAGCGAACAGGAUUAAAUACCCUGGUAGUCCACGCCUUAAACGAUGAGUGCUAAGUGUUAGGGGGUUUCCGCCCCUUAUUGCUGCAGCUAACGCAUUAA
This 480-nucleotide ribosomal RNA is filed under the name Bacillus subtilis. Its description in RNAcentral is "bacterial SSU rRNA". It matches the Rfam family "Bacterial small subunit ribosomal RNA", at positions 393 to 863 of the family's 1533-position model. The record is from RNAcentral. Lineage: Bacteria; Bacillati; Bacillota; Bacilli; Caryophanales; Bacillaceae.